Long non-coding RNA from Mauremys reevesii (Reeves's turtle), 797 nucleotides. RefSeq lists it as uncharacterized. The transcript has 3 exons. The record is from RefSeq and is a predicted model, not a curated record. Lineage: Eukaryota; Metazoa; Chordata; Testudines; Geoemydidae.
CCUAUACAACUACAUUGUUCUUAGGAGGGACUCACACUUCAAACAAGCCACCAUAGUGCAAUAGUGAAUGCAGAGUAUGGGCUGGGGCUUUAAAGGGAUGUUAGGGUGAGAUCCAAAAAUGGACAGUGCUGAGUGUCGUGAUGCCUAACUUUUAGUUUCCUAGAAAAUCACAGCAACAACACUGGGAUCUAUAAAGCCUGAGUUAGGCACCGAGGUUCCCUGUGCAGUGAAUGAGAGAGCAGAUGGGCCUGAUCCUGCUUUUACUGAAGUCAGCAUUUUUAUCAAGGACGUGGAGUAGGAUUGGGCCAUAAAUCUGGGAUCUGUUGGCAUACCCUGUGCGGACUCUUCACUUGGGGUGAGAUACCAUUCAAAGAUGCUAGCGCUGGAUAGCCAUCAGUAUGGAGAUGCAGUAGCCUGUUCAGUGCGCUAAAAAAAGGACUCCACCCAUAGAGCUCUGUACCAGGACACUGAGCACAACAUACACAUCCAAGGAAACACAAGAUAGCAGCACUGCAUCAUGAGAACUGGCAUCAGCUCACUAAUAAUCUCAAGAGAAGAAUGUUGUCAUAAUAAACAUGUGAUAAGAGAUUGCACUUUCUUUCCCGGCUCCACUCACUUUGCCCUGGCCAGCAUUACAAUGGGUAUAUUUAUAUCAGGAGUUAGUAUCCACUGUCUCCAAGUACUUACUGUUACAGCUGUAGCCAGCUCUCAGGAAUGGUUAAUCUUUUGGUCUGCAUCAUAUAUUGUACAUCAUGCUCCUUCCCCUCCUCUGAAAUUGCAGGUUUCACUAAAGAUAA